GAUGAACGCUGGCGGCGUGCCUAAUACAUGCAAGUCGAGCGAGCGGACGAGAAGCUUGCUUCUCUGAUGUUAGCGGCGGACGGGUGAGUAACACGUGGAUAACCUACCUAUAAGACUGGGAUAACUUCGGGAAACCGUAGCUAAUACCGGAUAAUAUUUUGAACCGCAUGGUUCAAAAGUGAAAGACGGUCUUGCUGUCACUUAUAGAUGGAUCCGCGCUGCAUUAGCUAGUUGGUAAGGUAACGGCUUACCAAGGCAACGAUGCAUAGCCGACCUGAGAGGGUGAUCGGCCACACUGGAACUGAGACACGGUCCAGACUCCUACGGGAGGCAGCAGUAGGGAAUCUUCCGCAAUGGGCGAAAGCCUGACGGAGCAACGCCGCGUGAGUGAUGAAGGUCUUCGGAUCGUAAAACUCUGUUAUUAGGGAAGAACAUAUGUGUAAGUAACUGUGCACAUCUUGACGGUACCUAAUCAGAAAGCAACGGCUAACUACGUG
This 497-nucleotide ribosomal RNA is filed under the name uncultured bacterium. Its description in RNAcentral is "partial 16S ribosomal RNA". It matches the Rfam family "Bacterial small subunit ribosomal RNA", at positions 28 to 507 of the family's 1533-position model. The record is from RNAcentral.